CCCUUAGAUGUUCUGGGCCGCACGCGCGCUACACUGACGAUGGCAACGAGUUUUUCCUUCGCCGAAAGGUGUGGGUAAUCUUUUGAAACAUCGUCGUGCUGGGGAUAGAUCAUUGCAAUUUUUGAUCUUGAACGAGGAAUUCCUAGUAAGCGCGAGUCAUCAGCUCGCGUUGAUUACGUCCCUGCCCUUUGUACACACCGCCCGUCGCUACUACCGAUUGAAUGGUUUAGUGAGGACUCCUGAUUGGCGCCGCCGCCCCGGCAACGGAGCAGCGGACUGCCGAAAAGUUGUUCAAACUUGAUCAAUUAGAGGAAGUAAAAGUCGUAACA
This 329-nucleotide ribosomal RNA is filed under the name uncultured eukaryote. Its description in RNAcentral is "partial 18S ribosomal RNA". It matches the Rfam family "Eukaryotic small subunit ribosomal RNA", at positions 1470 to 1796 of the family's 1831-position model. The record is from RNAcentral.